Molecule: long non-coding RNA, 221 nt
Filed under: Elaeis guineensis (African oil palm)
Lineage: Eukaryota; Viridiplantae; Streptophyta; Magnoliopsida; Arecales; Arecaceae
Description: long non-coding RNA (EGUI_LNC009358)
Source: RNAcentral
AUGAUGAUGUACUCCUAUAUCUCAUCUGUAUGCCAUACCAGUAUCUCCAUACUUUUUGGUUAAGAGAAUAAUCAAUCCAGAUAGCACACAAUGAUUUAUACUCGAUAAACAUUAUUGUACUUAUGAAUAAUGUAUCAUUUGAUCGCGAACAAGUUUAAGAACUAUUCAAUAAAUCUUUCUUUAUCGAUUAUAUUAUAAUUCUAAAGACUUCAUCAUAACAU